Molecule: ribosomal RNA, 253 nt
Filed under: uncultured bacterium
Lineage: Bacteria
Description: partial 16S ribosomal RNA
Rfam family: Bacterial small subunit ribosomal RNA
Source: RNAcentral
UACGUAGGGGGCAAGCGUUGUCCGGAUUUAUUGGGCGUAAAGAGCUCGUAGGCGGUCUGUUGCGUCCGCUGUGAAAACUCGGGGCUUAACCCCGAGCCUGCAGUGGAUACGGGCAGACUAGAGGUAGGUAGGGGAGAAUGGAAUUCCCGGUGUAGCGGUGAAAUGCGCAGAUAUCGGGAGGAACACCGGUGGCGAAGGCGGUUCUCUGGGCCUUAACUGACGCUGAGGAGCGAAAGCGUGGGGAGCGAACAGG